This 293-nucleotide ribosomal RNA is filed under the name Aeromonas sp. PrichA-15. RNAcentral's name for it is "partial 16S ribosomal RNA". It matches the Rfam family "Bacterial small subunit ribosomal RNA", at positions 67 to 354 of the family's 1533-position model. Lineage: Bacteria; Pseudomonadati; Pseudomonadota; Gammaproteobacteria; Aeromonadales; Aeromonadaceae. The record is from RNAcentral.
CGGCAGCGGGAAAGUAGCUUGCUACUUUUGCCGGCGAGCGGCGGACGGGUGAGUAAUGCCUGGGAAAUUGCCCAGUCGAGGGGGAUAACAGUUGGAAACGACUGCUAAUACCGCAUACGCCCUACGGGGGAAAGCAGGGGACCUUCAGGCCUUGCGCGAUUGGAUAUGCCCAGGUGGGAUUAGCUAGUUGGUGAGGUAAUGGCUCACCAAGGCGACGAUCCCUAGCUGGUCUGAGAGGAUGAUCAGCCACACUGGAACUGAGACACGGUCCAGACUCCUACGGGAGGCAGCAG